AGUGAACGCUGGCGGUAGGCCUAACACAUGCAAGUCGAACGGCAGCACAGUAAGAGCUUGCUCUUACGGGUGGCGAGUGGCGGACGGGUGAGGAAUACAUCGGAAUCUACUUUUUCGUGGGGGAUAACGUAGGGAAACUUACGCUAAUACCGCAUACGACCUACGGGUGAAAGCAGGGGAUCUUCGGACCUUGCGCGAAUGAAUGAGCCGAUGUCGGAUUAGCUAGUUGGCGGGGUAAAGGCCCACCAAGGCGACGAUCCGUAGCUGGUCUGAGAGGAUGAUCAGCCACACUGGAACUGAGACACGGUCCAGACUCCUACGGGAGGCAGCAGUGGGGAAUAUUGGGCAAUGGGCGCAAGCCUGAUCCAGCCAUACCGCGUGGGUGAAGAAGGCCUUCGGGUUGUAAAGCCCUUUUGUUGGGAAAGAAAAGCAGCAGGUUAAUACCCCGCUGUUCUGACGGUACCCAAAGAAUAAGCACCGGCUAACUUCGUG
This 492-nucleotide ribosomal RNA is filed under the name uncultured bacterium. RNAcentral's name for it is "partial 16S ribosomal RNA". It matches the Rfam family "Bacterial small subunit ribosomal RNA", at positions 29 to 507 of the family's 1533-position model. The record is from RNAcentral.